AGCAAGCGUCCUCCCCACCAUGGGGCAGACCUGCCAGCGAGGAUGGGGCACAGAAACUGAAAAUUCAAUCCGGCCUCCACUUACUGAAAAUAAGG
This is a non-coding RNA of Odocoileus virginianus texanus, 95 nucleotides long. Lineage: Eukaryota; Metazoa; Chordata; Mammalia; Artiodactyla; Cervidae. The record is from RefSeq and is a predicted model, not a curated record.